Molecule: long non-coding RNA, 469 nt
Organism: Monopterus albus (swamp eel)
Lineage: Eukaryota; Metazoa; Chordata; Actinopteri; Synbranchiformes; Synbranchidae
Exons: 3
Source: RefSeq, a predicted model, not a curated record
UAAACUUUACAAGAAAUUCUCGUGUUUGUAAAUUUAAUUCAGAAUUUCACCUCGAAUUUAAUGUGAUACUUGAUGUUUGUAUGUAAUUUUCUAUAAUCGUUUAUACAAGUAAUAUUAACUACACUAAUGCAUUGCCUGCCUUAAGUUCUUCAGAGGAAGUAAACUUUACUUGGCUAAUGCGAGCAAAUCUGGCAACCCUCUCCAAACUCGUUGGGUGACGUCACAGGGAGUUUGCGCUCCAAACAAACCAGGACUUUUUGAAUGGCGGCUGAGUUUGAGAGGGACAUAUACAGACGACUGUUUGGAUUUUUUUAAUAGGAAAAUUGUGACUGUGGCUGCGAAGACUAGAAGUGGUCAAGCAUUGCCCUGCUGUCCAAGACUUCACUGAGAGAUGCUCUGUUAAGUGAAGCUCAGAUCAAAGAAGAGUUCAGAAGGAUAACAGCAAUACAUCUGGGGUGGACCUUUUUCU